AUGCAACGCGAAGAACCUUACCUGGUCUUGACAUCCCGGAGACCCUUAGGAAACUAGGGGUGCUUCCAUCUGGAAGAAUCUGGAGACAGGUGCUGCAUGGCUGUCGUCAGCUCGUGUCGUGAGAUGUUGGGUUAAGUCCCGCAACGAGCGCAACCCUUGCCUUUAGUUGCCAGCAGUUCGGCUGGGCACUCUAAAGGGACUGCCGGUGUUAAACCGGAGGAAGGUGGGGAUGACGUCAAGUCCUCAUGGCCUUUAUGACCAGGGCUACACACGUACUACAAUGGCCGAUACAAAGGGCAGCGACACUGCGAGGUGAAGCCAAUCCCGUAAAAUCGGUCUCAGUCCGGAUUGGAGUCUGCAACUCGACUCCAUGAAGUUGGAAUCGCUAGUAAUCGUGGGUCAGCAUGCCACGGUGAAUACGUUCCCGGGCCUU
RNAcentral lists this ribosomal RNA (433 nucleotides) under uncultured Desulfobulbus sp. Its description in RNAcentral is "bacterial SSU rRNA". It matches the Rfam family "Bacterial small subunit ribosomal RNA", at positions 954 to 1382 of the family's 1533-position model. The record is from RNAcentral. Lineage: Bacteria; Pseudomonadati; Thermodesulfobacteriota; Desulfobulbia; Desulfobulbales; Desulfobulbaceae.